RNAcentral lists this ribosomal RNA (433 nucleotides) under unidentified proteobacterium. RNAcentral describes it as "bacterial SSU rRNA". It matches the Rfam family "Bacterial small subunit ribosomal RNA", at positions 29 to 507 of the family's 1533-position model. Lineage: Bacteria; Pseudomonadati; Pseudomonadota. The record is from RNAcentral.
AGCGAACGCUGGCGGCAGGCUUAACACAUGCAAGUCGAACGGGUAUCUUCGGAUACUAGUGGCAGACGGGUGAGUAACACGUGGGAACGUACCUUUCGGUUCGGAAUAAUACAGGGAAACUUGUACUAAUACCGGAUAAGCCCUUCGGGGAAAGAUUUAUCGCCGAUAGAUCGGCCCGCGUCUGAUUAGCUAGUUGGUGAGGUAAUGGCUCACCAAGGCGACGAUCAGUAGCUGGUCUGAGAGGAUGAUCAGCCACACUGGGACUGAGACACGGCCCAGACUCCUACGGGAGGCAGCAGUGGGGAAUAUUGGACAAUGGGCGAAAGCCUGAUCCAGCCAUGCCGCGUGUGUGAUGAAGGCCUUAGGGUUGUAAAGCACUUUUGUCCGGGAAGAUAAUGACUGUACCGGAAGAAUAAGCCCCGGUAACUUCGUG